This 481-nucleotide ribosomal RNA is filed under the name uncultured bacterium. RNAcentral describes it as "partial 16S ribosomal RNA". It matches the Rfam family "Bacterial small subunit ribosomal RNA", at positions 28 to 523 of the family's 1533-position model. The record is from RNAcentral.
GACGAACGCUGGCGGCGUGCUUAACACAUGCAAGUCGAGCGAUGAAUUUUCUUCGGAAAUGGAUUAGCGGCGAACGGGUGAGGAACACGUGAAGAAUCUGCCCUCCACUUUGGGAUAACACAGGGAAACCUGUGCUAAUACCGAAUAUUGAAACAUAAGUGGCAUCACUGAGUUUUGAAAGAAUUUCGGUGGAGGAUGACUUCGCGGCCUAGCAGCUAGUGGGUGGGGUAAUGGCUCACCAAGGCAACGACGGGUAGCCGGCCCGAGAGGGCGACGGGCCACACUGGGACUGAGACACGGCCCAGACUCCUACGGGAGGCAGCAGUGGGGAAUAUUGGGCAAUGGAGGAAACUCUGACCCAGCGACGCCGCGUGCGGGAUGAAGGCCUUCGGGUUGUAAACCGCUUUCAGUAGGGAAGAAGCGAAAGUGACGGUACCUACAAAAGAAGCACCGGCUAACUAUGUGCCAGCCGCCGCCGUAA